This 74-nucleotide transfer RNA is filed under the name Actinoplanes sp. NBRC 14428. RNAcentral describes it as "tRNA-Thr". The record is from RNAcentral. Lineage: Bacteria; Bacillati; Actinomycetota; Actinomycetes; Micromonosporales; Micromonosporaceae.
CCGGCGGCGGGCCCUCGGCCGGGGCUCGGCCCUCGGUCGGGGCUCGGCCCGGUUCUGGCUCCGGGCCGGCGGCC